CCCUUAGAUGUUCUGGGCCGCACGCGCGCUACACUGAUGCAUUCAACGAGCCUAUCCUUGACCGACAGGUCCGGGUAAUCUUUGAAUCUGCAUCGUGACGGGGAUAGAUUAUUGCAAUUAUUAAUCUUCAACGAGGAAUGCCUAGUAGGCGCAAGUCAUCAGCUUGCGUCGAUUACGUCCCUGCCCUUUGUACACACCGCCCGUCGCUCCUACCGAUUGGGUGUGCUGGUGAAAUGUUCGGAUCGGCCGUUUGUCGCGGUUUCCGCGUCAUGUGGCUGAGAAGUUCAUUAAACCCUCCCACCUAGAGGAAGGAAAAGUCGUAACA
Molecule: ribosomal RNA, 325 nt
Filed under: uncultured eukaryote
Lineage: Eukaryota
Description: partial 18S ribosomal RNA
Rfam family: Eukaryotic small subunit ribosomal RNA
Source: RNAcentral